CAGCAGCCGCGGGAAUACGAAGGGUGCAAGCGUUAAUCGGAAUUACUGGGCGUAAAGCGUGCGUAGGCGGUUUGUUAAGUCUGUUGUGAAAUCCCCGGGCUCAACCUGGGAAUGGCAAUGGAUACUGGCAAGCUAGAGUGUGUCAGAGGAUGGUGGAAUUCCCGGUGUAGCGGUGAAAUGCGUAGAGAUCGGGAGGAACAUCAGUGGCGAAGGCGGCCAUCUGGGACAACACUGACGCUGAGGCACGAAAGCGUGGGGAGCAAACAGGAUUAGAUACCCGCGUAGUCCCUGUCUCUUAUAC
This 301-nucleotide ribosomal RNA is filed under the name uncultured bacterium. Its description in RNAcentral is "partial 16S ribosomal RNA". It matches the Rfam family "Bacterial small subunit ribosomal RNA", at positions 509 to 807 of the family's 1533-position model. The record is from RNAcentral.